GGAAUGCGGUGGAUUGCACUUAAAGCUAUGACUUGUUUUUCACUUCUUUCCUGAGCUAGCCUAAUUGACUUGAUUCCUCGCCGUUGCGCUGCUGCGUGUUAUUUUCCUCCAGCCACUACAGAUUCCUUCGCAGCAGAAAGCAUUGAAAGCGUCACGAGGUACUCCCUCGUCGCCAAACAGCUGUUGAAAGCGCGCGGUUGCUCGACCUUCAUAUCUGUCCAGUGGGGAAUAAUAUUGUACGCAAGUUGGCCUUCGAUAUGAGACAUGAACAACGCUGCCUUCGUGGACACUAUUUCUGAAGGCCUCAUUGUUUCGUUACUCCAGCGCUUCCUGAGCAUUUUCCAAAUUUCUCUCGUCGGCAGCGUUCUACUGUGGACAAGUCUCAUGCUAGCAGCAUUUGCACCUAACAUGGAGCUCAUGACUUUACUUUUGGGUGCUGUGCAUGCAUGGUGCCCCCACUGACCGACAAGAGUCCUUGGCUUCCAUUGUCGCAGGAGCUCAAGACUCGAGUGUUCAACGGCAAUGGCACCGAGAAUUUCACCAGCUAUUUUGCCGAAUGCAGAAAGUAUAAAGUGUAUAUCUGAAUAGUUUUUCACUAAAAACGUCAAAACAGU
Long non-coding RNA from Rhipicephalus microplus (southern cattle tick), 614 nucleotides. Lineage: Eukaryota; Metazoa; Arthropoda; Arachnida; Ixodida; Ixodidae. The record is from RefSeq and is a predicted model, not a curated record.